GAUGAACGCUGGCGGCGUGCCUAAUACAUGCAAGUCGAGCGAACAGACGAGGAGCUUGCUCCUCUGACGUUAGCGGCGGACGGGUGAGUAACACGUGGAUAACCUACCUAUAAGACUGGGAUAACUUCGGGAAACCGGAGCUAAUACCGGAUAAUAUAUUGAACCGCAUGGUUCAAUAGUGAAAGACGGUUUUGCUGUCACUUAUAGAUGGAUCCGCGCCGCAUUAGCUAGUUGGUAAGGUAACGGCUUACCAAGGCAACGAUGCGUAGCCGACCUGAGAGGGUGAUCGGCCCCACUGAACCUGAGACCCGGUCCAGCUCCCUACGGGAGGCAGCAGUAGGGAAUCUUCCGCAAUGGGCGAAAGCCUGACGGAGCAACGCCGCGUGAGUGAUGAGGGUCUUCGGUUCGUAAACCUCUGUUAUUAGGGAAGAACAAAUGUGUAAGUAACUAUGCACGUCUUGCCGGUACCUAAUCAGAAGGCCACGGCUAACUCCGU
This 496-nucleotide ribosomal RNA is filed under the name uncultured bacterium. Its description in RNAcentral is "partial 16S ribosomal RNA". It matches the Rfam family "Bacterial small subunit ribosomal RNA", at positions 28 to 506 of the family's 1533-position model. The record is from RNAcentral.